CAGAGGGCUACCAUAGGCAGAGCCAGCAGGAAGUUGAGGUAGUUUAUCCCUCCAGGUCUCUCUUUUCUUGAAAAAGGCAAGGCCAUUCCUUGAGAAGGAUGUGAGCUGGAAGUUCAUUAUAGAGGGAUUUGAGGAAGAGUGGAUAAAUUUUGGAGGAUUUGCCAAGAUAAAUGAAGAAAAGAGAUGGCCAAGUUUAAAUAACACAAUUACUGAGAUGCCGUGGGUGCCUGGUGGCUGAGUAAUUGACCUUGGAACCUAGACCGAAUGCAGUCGGAAGCCAUAGAAUUGCAAAGGACAUGAGGCACUCUUGGGCCUGAUUCAUUUCCCACUGCCAACCUGUGGUCUGUGGGACAUGGAUGAACAGAGGAAAGACACAAGGAUGCUCCCAAGAUCCCUUUCCUACAGAUGCUGCCUCCUGCUCUGUGAGCCAGCAUCAUGGUCUCAGUUUUUUGAGCAUGACUUAUUUCCAUUUUUUAUUUCUGUUACAUCUAUUCCAAGAUCUGCUUCCAGCUGUCUGUCUGCCACCUCAAAAGCAGUGCCAAGUGGCUGCUCAGUGGGGCCUGACCAGCAGCCUCAGAAAAGGAAGGAGCUUAGCCAUUCACCCAUGCCUGACAGGAGAAGAACACAGGGCACUAAUUUACCCCCUACCUGGCCACAGAAAGCA
Molecule: long non-coding RNA, 664 nt
Filed under: Homo sapiens (human)
Lineage: Eukaryota; Metazoa; Chordata; Mammalia; Primates; Hominidae
Description: HSALNT0229151
Source: RNAcentral